AUGCUGCCCGCAGACUGUGCCCACAGACUGGUUUCUCUACUCACCCAAGCCUUGGAAGACUGCGCUGAACAAAAGCAGCGACUGCAGCAGAAACUAACACAAUGCCAAGCUAUUCUUGGAGACUGGAACUCACAAGCUCCUGAAUACCCAGUCCUUGAUGAUGGCAAAAAUGAUAAUCAAGGAAGUGAACCCUCAGCCAAGGAACUCGAGGAACUGGAGCUGCUUAACAAAGCCCUGGAGAAAGCAUUAAGGAUCCGAGCAAAGUUCCAGCAGGCUCCAUGUGAGCUUAUAGAAAGUGCCAAAGCUGCAGAAAAGAAGGCUGUUGGUAGUGCUGAUGUAAAACAGCAAGUGGAUCAUUCUAAGGAGAGCAUCUCGAAGACAGUAAAAGUGCAAUCUGUGAACAGAAAGCCAGUGCCUUCCAAAAAGCCUACAGCAUACAUGCUGAAAGCUCCCUACAGGACUGACUUAGAUGUGAAAAGGUCACAAGUGAAAAUGUCAGGCAGACUGAGCUCCAGAACUUCAAAGAUGCCAGGGAAGAAGAAGUCAGCCAAAGGGGCUGCCUCCCCCAAAGCCAUGUUGUCUGCAAAAAUAACCCAAAUGGGUCAUGAAAAGGUCUUUGCCACUGAAGAACCCAGAACACAACAUGAAUUUUCUAAAUCUUCACAUUGUGCAAAGCUAAACCCUUCAUUUGGGGACCUUGUGGGUGGGGGAGACAUUGCAGGUACUGAUGUGCCUUUUUCUGAAGCAGAGCAUAAUUUUGUUGGUCCUGCUCCAGAGUCUGUAGCCACACAGAGCCAUACGGAAGAAGGCACCCCAGGGGCAGACACAACAUCCCAGAUAUCUACUCUACAGGAAAAGGGAUCUUUGAUAAAACUGCCACACCCUUAUGGGAAAGCCUUUUCCAGGUAUACCAGGCUGGGAGAGAAAUGCCGUCUUUGCAAAACAAGCCCAGAAGCUGUUGCUGCAAGGAAUAGUUUUAUGGAGAAACUACAAGCAACAUUCUGCUUGCCUUCACUAGCCUUAAGUCCAGUUGAAGUGAAAGAAGAAUUUAAGCACCUACGUGACAUUCACUCCCAUGUCAGCCAGUGCAUGGAAGCUGAGACCUCAGAGUCUCUUGGAGAAAACCCAACUUGGCAGAGACAGUACGAAAAUCUUCUGACUCUGGAGGGCCUGCAAACGAUAGUGGGCCAGUGUCUGGACAAAGGUGCACCAGUUGAGAGAAGCUAUGGAGUCCCAUUCGAAGCUGUUCCCUGCUAA
This 1257-nucleotide long non-coding RNA is filed under the name Podarcis muralis (Common wall lizard). RNAcentral's name for it is "lncRNA (ENSPMRG00000014975.1)". Lineage: Eukaryota; Metazoa; Chordata; Lepidosauria; Squamata; Lacertidae. The record is from RNAcentral.